This 376-nucleotide long non-coding RNA is filed under the name Monodelphis domestica (gray short-tailed opossum). RNAcentral describes it as "lncRNA (ENSMODG00000047570.1)". Lineage: Eukaryota; Metazoa; Chordata; Mammalia; Didelphimorphia; Didelphidae. The record is from RNAcentral.
AUGAAUCUUCCUGACUCUAUACAUAUAUUGCGCCAUCUAGCUGACCCAAUAAGGGCAAUUAGAUGGCACAAUGGAUGGAGUACCAGGUCUAGAGUCAGGAGAAUUCACCUUCCAAAAUUGAAAUCUGGUCUGAGACACUCGCUGUGUUACUCUGGGGGGCUAAUAAUAAAGCACACCACCUACCCAAGGCCUGGGAGAGGAACGAUGGAAUCAAGAUACAGAAUGAAACCUUUUUUAAAAUUAACAAUAUGGAAAUGUGUUUUGACUGACUAAAGCAUAUUUGUCAUGAAGAGUUUUAGUUUUCUCUCAUUUUGAAAGUAAAGAGGAUAUGAGAGAAAGAAAUAAAAUUUUGGUUUUUUUGGAAAAAAAAUUUAAA